Molecule: ribosomal RNA, 2024 nt
Filed under: Pseudomonadales bacterium
Lineage: Bacteria; Pseudomonadati; Pseudomonadota; Gammaproteobacteria; Pseudomonadales
Description: partial 23S ribosomal RNA
Rfam family: Bacterial large subunit ribosomal RNA
Source: RNAcentral
GGUCAAGCAUUUAAGUGCAUCUGGUGGAUGCCUAGGCAGCUGAAGGCGAUGAAGGACGUCGUAGCCUGCGAUAAGCCUCGGGGAGUCGGCUAACAGACUUUGAUCCGAGGAUUUCCGAAUGGGGAAACCCACCACUUUCGAGUGGUAUCCAUACCUGAAUUCAUAGGGUAUGGAGGCGAACCCGGGGAACUGAAAUAUCUAAGUACCCGGAGGAAUAGAAAUCAACCGAGAUUCCCUUAGUAGCGACGAGCGAACGGGGACCAGCCCUUAAGCAUUUGGUUUGUUAGUGGAAGCUUCUGGAAAGACGCGCGAUACAGGGUGAUAGCCCCGUACACGAAAACAGGCCGUUUGUGAAAUCGAGUAGGACGGGGCACGUGAAACCUUGUCUGAACAUGGGGGGACCAUCCUCCAAGGCUAAAUACUCUCAGCUGACCGAUAGUGAACUAGUACCGUGAGGGAAAGGCGAAAAGAACCCCUGUGAGGGGAGUGAAAUAGAACCUGAAACCAGAUGCAUACAAGCAGUGGGAGCAAGCGGUACACCUUCGGGUGUGCGUAAGCUUGUGACUGCGUACCUUUUGUAUAAUGGGUCAGCGAGUUACUUUUACUGGCAAGGUUAACCGUAUAGGGGAGCCGUAGGGAAACCGAGUCUUAAUAGGGCGACCUCUUGUCUUCGGAUGAGGAAAGUCUGUAGGAGUAGACCCGAAACCGGGCGAUCUAGCCAUGGGCAGGUUGAAGGUUGAGUAACAUCAACUGGAGGACCGAACCCACUAAUGUUGAAAAAUUAGGGGAUGACCUGUGGCUCGGAGUGAAAGGCUAAUCAAGCCCGGAGAUAGCUGGUUCUCCUCGAAAUCUAUUUAGGUAGAGCCUCUCGUAUCACCAUCGGGGGUAGAGCACUGUUUGGGCUAGGGGGUCACCUAGACUUACCAACCCCAUGCAAACUCCGAAUACCGAUGAGUGCAGCGAGGGAGACACACGGCGGGUGCUAACGUCCGUCGUGGAAAGGGAAACAACCCAGACCGCCAGCUAAGGUCCCUAAAUCACAGUUAAGUGGGAAACGAUGUGGGAAGGCCCAGACAGCCAGGAGGUUGGCUUAGAAGCAGCCACCCUUUAAAGAAAGCGUAAUAGCUCACUGGUCGAGUCGGCCUGCGCGGAAGAUGUAACGGGGCUCAAACUGUGUACCGAAGCUGCGGGUGUCAACGGUUCGCCAUUGGCACGGUAGAGGAGCGUUCUGUAAGCCUGUGAAGGUCCACCGGGAGGUCGGGCUGGAGGUAUCAGAAGUGCGAAUGCUGACAUGAGUAACGAUAAAGGAGGUGAAAAUCCUCCUCGCCGAAAGACCAAGGGUUCCUGCGCAACGCUCAUCGGCGCAGGGUGAGUCGGCCCCUAAGGCGAGGCCGAAAGGCGUAGUCGAUGGGAAGCUGGUUAAUAUUCCAGCACCGAUCCUAGCUGCGACGGGGUGACGGAGAAGGCUAGACUGGCCUGGCGAUGGUUGUCCAGGUUUAAGCGUGUAGGUCGAAAGUUUAGGUAAAUCCGGACUUUCCUCUUCAUUGAGAAGGCUGAGACGUGAUGACGAACUACUCUUAUACGAGUGGGAAGUGGUUGAAGCCAUGCUUCCAAGAAAAACCUCUAAGCUUCAGGCUAUGAACGACCGUACCCCAAACCGACACAGGUGGUCGGGUAGAGAAUACCAAGGCGCUUGAGAGAACUCGGGUGAAGGAACUAGGCAAAAUGGCACCGUAACUUCGGGAGAAGGUGCGCCGCUGAUGGUGAUCGGACUUGCUCCGUAAGCUGUUGGCGGUCGAAGAUACUAGGUGGCUGCGACUGUUUACUAAAAACACAGCACUCUGCAAACUCGUAAGAGGACGUAUAGGGUGUGACGCCUGCCCGGUGCCGGAAGGUUAAUUGAUGGGGUUAGUCCUCGGACGAAGCUCUUGAUCGAAGCCCCGGUGAAGGGUAUAGGAAGGAUAAACACCCUUUUCACCCAAGUGCAACAGCCGCUGACGGCUGUUGCAUCGCCCGGCAACCAU